Molecule: small nucleolar RNA, 100 nt
Organism: Elaeis guineensis (African oil palm)
Lineage: Eukaryota; Viridiplantae; Streptophyta; Magnoliopsida; Arecales; Arecaceae
Product: small nucleolar RNA Z161/Z228
Source: RefSeq, a predicted model, not a curated record
AUACCAUAUGAUGAGAAUAACUUUUUAUUUCUCAUGACGGUCAUCUGAGACUCUCUUUUUGGUGUCUAGAUUGAUGCUACUUAUUUUUCUCUGAUGGUAU